GACGAAGGACCCGAGCGUUAUCCGGAUUCAUUGGGUUUAAAGGGUGCGUAGGCGGAUUGAUAAGUCAGUGGUGAAAUCUCCGGGCUCAACCCGGAAACUGCCAUUGAUACUGUCGAUCUUGAAUUUGGUUGAUGUGGGCGGAAUAUGACAUGUAGCGGUGAAAUGCUUAGAUAUGUCAUAGAACACCGAUUGCGAAGGCAGCUCACAAAGCCAAUAUUGACGCUGAGGCACGAAAGUGCGGGGAUCAAACAGG
Molecule: ribosomal RNA, 253 nt
Filed under: uncultured bacterium
Lineage: Bacteria
Description: partial 16S ribosomal RNA
Rfam family: Bacterial small subunit ribosomal RNA
Source: RNAcentral